CACACAACUGAAUCUGAAAGUAAACUUCACCUCGACUUGGGCCAGCGUAGCCUACCAACGCACUUCUAUUUCGCAUUGAGGAUUUAAUAACCUGUCUAACCCCACACAUUGAAACCACGUCUAAUUAGGAGUAGCUGAAGAUGGAGGUUCCCCUAGAGGGGGAUGUGCAGGGCAGCCCUGGAGAAGGAUCCAGUCCAGAAGAAGACAGCAGCCAUGGACAUGUGGGUCCGAUGCAGCAUAAGAGACCAUCCUCUCCUGUGCCGAGCUGUGUAUCCAUGAAGAGUGACUGGUCCAUGGAUCUCCCUCUGCACUUCAGAGCUGAUGUUCCUGCUGGUCAGAGGUGUGUA
This is a long non-coding RNA of Engraulis encrasicolus (European anchovy), 347 nucleotides long. RefSeq lists it as uncharacterized. Lineage: Eukaryota; Metazoa; Chordata; Actinopteri; Clupeiformes; Engraulidae. The transcript has 3 exons. The record is from RefSeq and is a predicted model, not a curated record.